CCACAUGGUAUCUGAGCCACCGGUUCUAACCUAAAGCCGGCAGGCCAAUGGCAGAAAAAACCACCAGUAGUCAAAACUCAGCAAAUUUUGAGUCUAGUAUAAAAGAAACAAAGUUCAACCCAACCAUGAGUUCGUUUGGAUCGGACAAUUCUACCUUCCAACUCUCUAUAGAAAAACUCAAUGGCAGAAAUUACAGGAAAUGAGCACAAUCGAUUAAAUUGGUCAUUGACGGGAAAGGUAAAACUGGAUACCUUACUGAGAAGCAAAACAGCCUACGGACGAAAAUCUUCAAAAGAGGUGGAAAUCUGAAAACUCUAUGGUUAUGGCCUGGCUUAUUAACUCAAUGAAGCCUUCAAUUGGUAAAACUUACCUCUUCAUGCCCACUGCUCGAGAUAUUUGGGAGGCAGUUCGUGAGAUGUACUCCGAUGCCGAGGAUUCAUCUCAAAUUUUUGAAAUUAAAACUAAGCUAUGGCAAUUGAAGUAGGGAGAAAGAGAUCUGACGGAGUACUACAUGGAAAUGACAACCUUGUGGCAAGAAUUGGAUCUCUGCGUCGAAGAAGAGUGGGAUUGCGCGAAGGACAGAACCCGGUACAAGAAACAGUUGGAGAAUGAACGCGUCUACGAGUUUUUGGCAGGAUUAAACAGAGAACUAGACGACGUGCAUGGAAGAAUUCUUGGUCGUCGUCCUCUACCAUCACCGCGUGAAGUGUUCGUCGAAGUCAGACGUGAAGAAAGCCGACGACUAAUAAUGUUGAAGAGGGAGGUUGGGCCGGCUGGGAAUUCAAUGUCGGCCCUUACUUCUGUCAAUUUAAAUGGGCCAGUUAGUGGAAUUGGAUUUGGGUCCAUUCAUGAUACAAAUGGAACUGGCCCGGAAGGUAUUGCAACCAAUGUUAAAAGGAUGCGCCUAAAAUGGUUGGGCCCAACAGAUCAAAUAAAAAAUUUAAAGGAAUAAAAUUAGGACUAGGUCCAAAACAG
RNAcentral lists this long non-coding RNA (975 nucleotides) under Olea europaea subsp. europaea. Lineage: Eukaryota; Viridiplantae; Streptophyta; Magnoliopsida; Lamiales; Oleaceae. The record is from RNAcentral.